CCAUAGAUGGCGCUAUUAUAGCAAGCAUCAUGGAAUACAACUCCUUGUUCUAUUACAAUUCCAAGAUGGCUGCAGUGUACUACCUAAGACAGCCGGAGAAGUGUAAGAUGCGCCAAGUUUUGUCAACAAAGUUUUGAGUAAAAUUUUAGUACAGUGCUUUGGAAGACGACAUCUAUGUUCCAUGUAUGAAUUAAGGUUGAGCUAAGAUGGAGGGUCCAAAUGGGCUUUGUCAACAACCCUCGGUGAAGUAAGACCCAGCAUCAUAGGUCAGGUCCUUUGGAGGACCAGUGAAAUAAAAGCCUUGCAGAUGGAACAUGAUGAUCCACGUGUAGCUGCAGGUAUGGUGAGGGGAAUCGGGUCAGGUGACGUCCUGCAUGAGGUGAUACCAUUGCCAGUGUGGUGAGGUGCGAGUCAGUUCAAAUGGUGCCCCAAAUGAGGUGAUGUCAAAUCAGGUGGUGAAAAAUCGGGUAAUAUUGAGGUACACUAGAGCCAUGGCGGCAGUGUAAGUACACUAGAGCCAUGGCGGCAUUAUGUAAAAGUUGAUAAAAUGACACUGCUGAAGUGUAGGGACCAUACAGCCUGAAAGAUCCUCAACCAGAGAAACCCUGGCCCCCACGGACUUCAAGACUGACACCUAAAUGGGUAGUUCCUGCGAUAAAGGUUCUUCAGGUGGUUUCUACAGUAACGUGCAACACUGUAGGGUUAAGCCUCUCGUUCGGAAGUGAAGUCAUCGAAUGCCUACACAGCCAUCUGCUAAUGUUACAUGAUUGUCCACGAAUUGCAGUCCCUUAACCAAGACAACUACCUGUAUACCAAUGUCUGACCGGAUGUUGCAUAAGAGUUUAAUUCCGGCAACUUUGCACUGCCUGGUAGACCAGCAUGAUUCUGGCACUGAUAACCCUGACGACUACGGACUAAAUACGGCCAUGCCCUACCACACCAGAAAGUCACAACCGUGCCUUAAUACAGCACUCAAGCCAUGGCCAAUUUCUGGCCAUACAUGGCUUAUUCUCUAGUCUUAAAGUCUCGAUGGGAUGACAGAACGAACACGGUCUUCGCAUCGUUCUAGUUUAAAAAAUAAAGCAGUCUAGUUUGUCUACUGCCUAAAUGAUCUAAAAGGAAAAAUACGGUAAAAACAAACAAGGAUGCUUUUAAAUAAUUUACUUUAGCUUCCUGACCUUUUUGAUACAUGUGGGUGUCCGGUGACGAGACAGUGGGGCUCGAGACCUGGGAAUAGUUUUUUUUUUUUUUUCCCCCGUAUGGUUAUGAUUAACUUGUGUAAUAAACUGACCUUGAACUGCUCUAAAAAAUA
Long non-coding RNA from Macrobrachium nipponense, 1312 nucleotides. RefSeq lists it as uncharacterized. Lineage: Eukaryota; Metazoa; Arthropoda; Malacostraca; Decapoda; Palaemonidae. The record is from RefSeq and is a predicted model, not a curated record. The transcript is spliced from 5 exons.